This is a non-coding RNA of Pelobates cultripes (western spadefoot toad), 173 nucleotides long. The record is from the annotation of a GenBank genome assembly. NCBI's taxonomy places the organism in Eukaryota, Metazoa, Chordata, Amphibia, Anura, Pelobatidae.
CAGCAGACACAUUCCAGCCAAUCAGCAGCAGACCCUCCCUCCCAGACCCUCCCACCUCCUGGACAGCUCACUAAGAAUGCAGCUUCACAAUGAAUUUAAUAUGGAUGCUGUCCAGGAGGUGGGAGGGUCUGGGAGGGAGGGUUUCCUGCUGAUUGGCUGGAAUGUGUCUGCUG